UCACUUCUGACGAAUCCCAAAUAGGACGAAACAACUGUCCAGGUAG
RNAcentral lists this non-coding RNA (46 nucleotides) under Echinostoma caproni. Lineage: Eukaryota; Metazoa; Platyhelminthes; Trematoda; Plagiorchiida; Echinostomatidae. The record is from RNAcentral.